CUUUACUGUAGCUUUGCAUUGGACUUUGACGGGACUUGUGUAGGAUAGGUGGGAGGCGAUGAGACCGGGACGCUAGUUCCGGUGGAGCCGUCCUUGAAAUACCACCCUGGUGUCGUUGAGGUUCUAACCUAGGUCCAUCAUCUGGAUCGGGGACCGUGCAUGGUAGGCAGUUUGACUGGGGCGGUCUCCUCCCAAAAGGUAACGGAGGAGUACGAAGGUCUUCUAGGUACGGUCGGACAUCGUACUGAUAGUGCAAUGGCAAAAGAAGGCUUGACUGCGAGACCGACAAGUCGAGCAGGUGCGAAAGCAGGUCAUAGUGAUCCGGUGGUUCUGUAUGGAAGGGCCAUCGCUCAACGGAUAAAAGGUA
RNAcentral lists this ribosomal RNA (367 nucleotides) under uncultured organism. RNAcentral describes it as "bacterial LSU rRNA". It matches the Rfam family "Bacterial large subunit ribosomal RNA", at positions 2099 to 2465 of the family's 2925-position model. The record is from RNAcentral.